UACGUAGGGUGCGAGCGUUGUCCGGAAUUAUUGGGCGUAAAGGGCUCGUAGGCGGUUUGUCGCGUCGGGAGUGAAAACUCAGGGCUUAACCCUGAGCCUGCUCCCGAUACGGGCAGACUAGAGGUAUGCAGGGGAGAACGGAAUUCCUGGUGUAGCGGUGAAAUGCGCAGAUAUCGGGAAGAACACCCGUGGCGAAGGCGGCUCUCUGGGACGGUACUGACGCUGAGACGCGAAAGCGUGGGGAGCGAACAGG
Molecule: ribosomal RNA, 253 nt
Filed under: uncultured bacterium
Lineage: Bacteria
Description: partial 16S ribosomal RNA
Rfam family: Bacterial small subunit ribosomal RNA
Source: RNAcentral